GCUUAUCCUACGCCCACGCGGUUCAUGGAAAAUUUUAAGCAUGUGCAUUUAGUUGGUCAGAGUCUCUCAAAUAAAUCAGAUCGUUCUUGGAGUAAAUAAAAUCGUACACUUAAAACACGUGAUAAUUUUUGCACAUGCCAAAUAAAUAUAAAAAGGCAAUUUUAAUCAAAGUGCGUUACAAAAAUAUUAAGUGCAUAAUAGAAAACCGAUCAAGAGACGUAGGAAGAACCUAACUUGGCAAAACAUAUAUCUGUGCAGUUUCAGGAUUUGUGGUUGGAUUUAAAUCCACCAAUUAAUGAAACUGCACCUUCUGACGAAGCACCACAAAAUAAUUUAGCUGUUAAGCUGGCCAAGCGACGUUCAACCUGAUCAACUAAAAACUCACAGCAGCGCAGCGUAAAGGAAAUAACUUGGAUGAGAAUUAAAACUAUAUAUACUGGAC
Long non-coding RNA from Drosophila rhopaloa, 442 nucleotides. RefSeq lists it as uncharacterized. The record is from RefSeq and is a predicted model, not a curated record. The transcript is spliced from 2 exons. Lineage: Eukaryota; Metazoa; Arthropoda; Insecta; Diptera; Drosophilidae.